AAGGGUUACUUCUUUUAAACAUCUCAAAUCACAUGUUAACAUAUCAACACAUUCACAGAAAACAGCCCACCACUGGAGACAGCCUGCUCUCAGGGAUGGACUGAGAAAGAGGCGGAGUUUUUAAAAGCUGGCAAUCCUUGAAAGAUCAAAGGCUAACCCAGAAAGGGUGAGAAAGACAGCUAUGAAGCCACAUGACAAGAGUGUGCAUCGUGAAAGCAGUACCUCCUGCUGCUGCAAAAGGGCCUCAGUGCUCUAUUAAUACACGUACUAGAAGCUGUAUCCUGGGGCUAACUGUAUGCAAUGUUACUGAUGAUGCAAGGACCCACUGUGUAAAAAUCAAGAACAAAGUUUUGACCGAGAUCCGAGCCCCAGAGUAAACCAUAAUUUCCCUUCACCACCAUAUUAGGAAACUUGUGCCAAGAACUGUAUUCUUUACUUGGCUUGUUUUCUAGCAGCUUAAGAAAUAAAUGUGCACAAGGACAGUCUAAGUUUAUGUAUGUAUUUUAAAAAUAUAAAAGUGGUUUCACAUGAGUUACAGAUUGCCAGUUACAAAAAGGACAAUCAGUUUCUGCUGUGAUGUUUUGCCCACAUUUGAACUAUUAGAAUGUUCGCUUCAAAAUUCUCUCUCCUUGUGAGAACAAAUUACCAUUUUUUGCACAUUGGUGGGGUCACAACUGUCACUGGUGCCUACUUACUGCUGCUACUGAGCCAGUGGUAAGAACAAAGCAGUCUGCUUUCGUACAUUGCAACAGUGAAGGAUUCCAUCCUAUUCCCAGUUAAAGUGCAGCCAAGUCAGACAAGUGACUAUGCAUUUAAAAAAUGAGAGAGAGAAUGCAAUUUCCUGUUGGACCUAUCUGCUUUCCUGGAUGUCCCUGCGUUGAUGUGCUGGCUUUACUCACAAAACCUGUUUUGGCUGUUGGGCCAACCGUGUCAUUCAACAUGAGCUCAUUGUCAACAACACAAUCAGUUGAAUGGUGAUUCUUGUUACAGGUGAUGCCAAGAUAGGCAGCAAUAAUAUCACUUGAGAGUCAGAGCCCAGGUGGGGCUUCCAACAAAGGUCAUUAUGAAAACCAUCUUUUGACUUAAAGCCGAUCAGAUUUGGUCAGAACAUUAAGCACAUGCUUCCCUGUCGUAUUUUUUAAAAAGUUUAUUUUUCUGACUAUUAACUGCACUUUAAAACUAGGUUGUGUUAGAAUCCAGAGGACAAGACAGACUCUUUUGGACCAGUUCCUAAUUUUCAAACAGUUAAUAAUAAUACAAGCUGUUGCACUGCACUUGAACCAGUUCUACCGUAACCUAAUUAUGUUUCUUUACUGGGGCAAAAGUAUGAUCAUGACCAAAUGCUGAUGGAUGCGUGCAUUUGGAAGGAGCGAUUUCUAUUACCAAAAAACAGUAUCUUCUGCUGUACUACAGAGAGGAGCUGUGAAUAAGGCUGAAAGAGGCUCUCAGGAGAAAUAAAUUGUAAUUCAUAUGCAGCAGGAGCUUUUAUAGUCUGCUGCUCCUAUCAUCCUGUGAUGCUAUGUUGGCAAUAAUGGAAAAUAUGGAUGCACAUUUAAACUCACCUCUGGAAAGGAAAUCCAAGAUUCUACUGACCCAAGCCAGAUCUUUUAUAAAAAAAAC
Pelodiscus sinensis (Chinese soft-shelled turtle) is the source of this 1620-nucleotide non-coding RNA. Lineage: Eukaryota; Metazoa; Chordata; Testudines; Trionychidae. The record is from RefSeq and is a predicted model, not a curated record.